GGUUAAGCGACUAAGCGUACACGGUGGAUGCCCUGGCAGUCAGAGGCGAUGAAGGACGUGCUAAUCUGCGAUAAGCGUCGGUAAGGUGAUAUGAACCGUUAUAACCGGCGAUUUCCGAAUGGGGAAACCCAGUGUGAUUCGUCACACUAUCAUUAACUGAAUCCAUAGGUUAAUGAGGCGAACCGGGGGAACUGAAACAUCUAAGUACCCCGAGGAAAAGAAAUCAACCGAGAUUCCCCCAGUAGCGGCGAGCGAACGGGGAGCAGCCCAGAGCCUGAAUCAGUGUGUGUGUUAGUGGAAGCGUCUGGAAAGGCGCGCGAUACAGGGUGACAGCCCCGUACACAAAAAUGCACAUGCUGUGAGCUCGAUGAGUAGGGCGGGACACGUGGUAUCCUGUCUGAAUAUGGGGGGACCAUCCUCCAAGGCUAAAUACUCCUGACUGACCGAUAGUGAACCAGUACCGUGAGGGAAAGGCGAAAAGAACCCCGGCGAGGGGAGUGAAAAAGAACCUGAAACCGUGUACGUACAAGCAGUGGGAGCACGCUUAGGCGUGUGACUGCGUACCUUUUGUAUAAUGGGUCAGCGACUUAUAUUCUGUAGCAAGGUUAACCGAAUAGGGGAGCCGAAGGGAAACCGAGUCUUAACUGGGCGUUAAGUUGCAGGGUAUAGACCCGAAACCCGGUGAUCUAGCCAUGGGCAGGUUGAAGGUUGGGUAACACUAACUGGAGGACCGAACCGACUAAUGUUGAAAAAUUAGCGGAUGACUUGUGGCUGGGGGUGAAAGGCCAAUCAAACCGGGAGAUAGCUGGUUCUCCCCGAAAGCUAUUUAGGUAGCGCCUCGUGAAUUCAUCUCCGGGGGUAGAGCACUGUUUCGGCAAGGGGGUCAUCCCGACUUACCAACCCGAUGCAAACUGCGAAUACCGGAGAAUGUUAUCACGGGAGACACACGGCGGGUGCUAACGUCCGUCGUGAAGAGGGAAACAACCCAGACCGCCAGCUAAGGUCCCAAAGUCAUGGUUAAGUGGGAAACGAUGUGGGAAGGCCCAGACAGCCAGGAUGUUGGCUUAGAAGCAGCCAUCAUUUAAAGAAAGCGUAAUAGCUCACUGGUCGAGUCGGCCUGCGCGGAAGAUGUAACGGGGCUAAACCAUGCACCGAAGCUGCGGCAGCGACGCUUAUGCGUUGUUGGGUAGGGGAGCGUUCUGUAAGCCUGCGAAGGUGUGCUGUGAGGCAUGCUGGAGGUAUCAGAAGUGCGAAUGCUGACAUAAGUAACGAUAAAGCGGGUGAAAAGCCCGCUCGCCGGAAGACCAAGGGUUCCUGUCCAACGUUAAUCGGGGCAGGGUGAGUCGACCCCUAAGGCGAGGCCGAAAGGCGUAGUCGAUGGGAAACAGGUUAAUAUUCCUGUACUUGGUGUUACUGCGAAGGGGGGACGGAGAAGGCUAUGUUGGCCGGGCGACGGUUGUCCCGGUUUAAGCGUGUAGGCUGGUUUUCCAGGCAAAUCCGGAAAACUAAGGCUGAGGCGUGAUGACGAGGCACUACGGUGCUGAAGCAACAAAUGCCCUGCUUCCAGGAAAAGCCUCUAAGCAUCAGGUAACAUCAAAUCGUACCCCAAACCGACACAGGUGGUCAGGUAGAGAAUACCAAGGCGCUUGAGAGAACUCGGGUGAAGGAACUAGGCAAAAUGGUGCCGUAACUUCGGGAGAAGG
Molecule: ribosomal RNA, 1703 nt
Filed under: Escherichia coli
Lineage: Bacteria; Pseudomonadati; Pseudomonadota; Gammaproteobacteria; Enterobacterales; Enterobacteriaceae
Description: partial 23S ribosomal RNA
Rfam family: Bacterial large subunit ribosomal RNA
Source: RNAcentral